GUUCUAUGGGUUGGUUGAAAAGCAAGUAAUCUCCUUUGAAAUCCUGGGCCCUCUGAGAUUUGGACUUCUCAAGUCUUCUUAAACUAAUCAGGUGCGGGGUUCUAUUGUGCUGAUGUCGUGGCAGCACGAGGGAGCAGCAACGUGGAUCAAAGGCUAUCUUCCUCCUGAUCCACAUCUGUGAGAUCCCCAUCGAUUGGAAAGGGGAACGAAACAUUCUGUAUUAGGGUGUGGAAACCUCUAAAAACCGUGAGGCUGACGGUGAUACGUAUCGGGUUUACAACCUCUCUGGAACGAAAAAGAUAAGAUUGGAGGGACUGUGAGGAAGAAAGCAUGACAGUCAAAUCCACAAACGCCAUGUGGCAGCCAGGUUAGUCGAGUUAACGUAAUCUCGCUUCUCAUAUUCUAAAGCUGGAAAGUUGCAUGCUUUUCAUGUCUUACUGAUAGACCUUCCCAAAAGGACAAACAUAAAGUAGGCAAAUUGGUUAGGCUUGGUUUCAUUUUCUUAACCCGAAACGCGAAACCGAACAAUUUGUUUGAUAAUUUCUUUUUAAAAAAUUUAAUAGUUAUAUUGUUUUGGAAUUGAUAAAGUUGUUUGAAAUAAAUGGAAAUAACUUUAUAAAAUGAAUUAGGUUCUUAUGGGAAUUUCACAAAUGUUCUUUUUUUUUUUUUUUUUUUUUAUCCUUUAUGAAAAUAUGCUUCUCCAAACUUUAGAAUAUUAGAAACUCUUACGGAACAAAUUUGAGUGCUAAAUUAAAAUGUCCUUUGUUUUCAUUAUAUUCCAUGCAUUAUACCUUUUAUGAAAAAGAAAUAUCAAUUUCUACCAUGUUCUAACAUUUACUAAGUUACACCAACCGCUUCUGAUGCGAUUAAUCUAGCUUGGGUUUGAUACGCUCGGACUCUUCCCUCUUAGAUGUCAAAUGGGUUCAUAGAUUAUGAAGCCAAUUAGACUAUGAUUUAAAUACUUUUUUCUGAUUCUUUUGUUUAUUUUUUAUUCUUUUUUGGGGGAAAAAAAUUCGUUCUUAUCCUCGUAGCUCAAGUUGUAUAACUCUCACUCAAAGGAAAACAACCCUUAAGUUUAAGCAUUUGAUUUAUUGAGUCGUCUCUGAUCGUUUAGUUUUUGUUUGUCUCCUUUAGUCAUGUAAGGUUAGUAUGACUACUUUUUAGCAAGUUUAAAUUAUUUGUUGCUCCUGACUCUUCCCUCUUCGUUUGAACUAGUUGGAAGUAUUUAAGGUUACGUAUAACUACUUUUUAGUUAGUUUAAAUUAUUUUAUGUAAAAUUAGGUGAGUCAAUUAUGAUUAUGGGGCUCUAGAAUUAAAUUUCAAGGACUAUUUGUAA
This is a non-coding RNA of Cucurbita pepo subsp. pepo (vegetable marrow), 1336 nucleotides long. The record is from RefSeq and is a predicted model, not a curated record. NCBI's taxonomy places the organism in Eukaryota, Viridiplantae, Streptophyta, Magnoliopsida, Cucurbitales, Cucurbitaceae.